AUAACGGAAAAGAAUAAAAAUAAGUUAAGGUGUAGACGAUGUCUGGGAAGUAUACUGUGAAUGGUCUUGUAGAGCUGGCACUUUCUAUUGGGGGCGGACCUAUUGUUAAAAAUAAUUUUGUUAGUACAACUUCAUUAUUGAGUUUGGAGAUUUUUGGUCGGCAGACUUACUUGUUGCUUGCAUCUUAUGGUAUAGAAAGUUGUUCGUGAUUCCGGGGAGCCUGAUCUGGGUGAGCAUCUGAUCGUGAUUCUGGGGGAGGGAGAGAAAGGAGUUUAGUAUUUUUGGAUAAUGUUGUGUAUUGUGUUGCAAAUAAUAAUGGAUUACCUGGUAAGUGAGGUAGACCGUUGUAUAUUUCUUUGUAGACUAUGUUUUUAACCCUUCCGAUCUUUUGAUCCUUUCUUUACAAAUAUUUGUACGGUCACGGGGCAAACUCUAGAAAUAAACAACAACAUGGAAUAAUUAUUUUCCUUUUUCAAAUUUAUUUUUAUAGAAAUUAUAGUUC
This 502-nucleotide long non-coding RNA is filed under the name Brassica napus (rape). RNAcentral's name for it is "long non-coding RNA (BNAP_LNC015037)". Lineage: Eukaryota; Viridiplantae; Streptophyta; Magnoliopsida; Brassicales; Brassicaceae. The record is from RNAcentral.